AUAACACAGACAAUCCACAUCAAGAGUAAACCUGUCACCACAUAGUCCCAGUAACCGUGCCAGGCCGUAGACUGGGGUCCUGGUCUUCCUGUCCUAUAUAUGUCUAUGUGUAUAUAACACCUGUACUUACCAUUCACCAAGCAUAGACUGUUUGCCUAUACCCGCCAGGCCGUAGAAUGGGGUCCUGGACUUCCUAUACCUGCCAGGCCGUAGAAUGGGGUCCUGGACUUCCUGUCUAGAACUAUUGGAUCAUUCAGCAUUUACCCACACCAACAAUAUAGCUAUGCAAUGCAACAUCUUUGUGAGUUCUAAUGCAAGCAACCUAUUGCAUAAACAUGAUGCAUGAAAGAUGCCAAAAGCAGUU
Molecule: long non-coding RNA, 364 nt
Filed under: Manihot esculenta (cassava)
Lineage: Eukaryota; Viridiplantae; Streptophyta; Magnoliopsida; Malpighiales; Euphorbiaceae
Description: long non-coding RNA (MESC_LNC002295)
Source: RNAcentral